Molecule: transfer RNA, 66 nt
Filed under: Trinervitermes sp. IND2
Lineage: Eukaryota; Metazoa; Arthropoda; Insecta; Blattodea; Termitidae
Description: tRNA-Met
Source: RNAcentral
AGAAAAGUAAGCUAAAUAAAGCUAAUGGGUUCAUACCCCAUAAAUAGAGUAAACCUCUCUUCUCUG